Molecule: small nuclear RNA, 18 nt
Filed under: Arabidopsis thaliana (thale cress)
Lineage: Eukaryota; Viridiplantae; Streptophyta; Magnoliopsida; Brassicales; Brassicaceae
Description: snRNA_15705
Source: RNAcentral
ACUUCGGGAAAAGGAUUG